RNAcentral lists this ribosomal RNA (301 nucleotides) under uncultured bacterium. RNAcentral describes it as "partial 16S ribosomal RNA". It matches the Rfam family "Bacterial small subunit ribosomal RNA", at positions 509 to 809 of the family's 1533-position model. The record is from RNAcentral.
CAGUCGCCACGGUAAUACGGAGGGUGCAAGCGUUAAUCGGAAUUACUGGGCGUAAAGCGCACGCAGGCGGUCUGACAAGUCAGGUGUGAAAUCCCCGGGCUUAACCUGGGAACUGCAUUUGAAACUGUCAGGCUGGAGUCUUGUAGAGGGGGGUGGAAUUCCAGGUGUAGCGGUGAAAUGCGUAGAGAUCUGGAGGAAUACCGGUGGCGAAGGCGGCCCCCUGGACAAAGACUGACGCUCAGGUGCGAAAGCGUGGGGAGCAAACAGGAUUAGAUACCCGCGUAGUCCAUGUCUCUUAUAA